GGCCUUAUAGUUGAUUAACAACAUCAAACUGCAAAUUUGAAAGCGUACUAAAAUACUAAGGCUU
This 64-nucleotide transfer RNA is filed under the name Siphonosoma cumanense. RNAcentral's name for it is "tRNA-Cys". The record is from RNAcentral. Lineage: Eukaryota; Metazoa; Annelida; Sipuncula; Golfingiida; Sipunculidae.